UACGGAGAGUGCAAGCGUUGUUCGGAAUUAUUGGGCGUAAAGCGCGUGUAGGCGGUCCAACACGUCUGGCGUGAAAGCCUUGGGCUCAACCCAAGAAGUGCGCUGGAAACUGUCGGACUUGAGUACUGGAGGGGGAGGUGGAAUUCUCGAGUGUAGAGGUGAAAUUCGUAGAUAUUCGGAAGAACAUCAGUGGCGAAGGCGACCUCCUGGACAGAUACUGACGCUGAGACGCGAAAGCGUGGGUAGCAAACAGG
RNAcentral lists this ribosomal RNA (254 nucleotides) under uncultured bacterium. Its description in RNAcentral is "partial 16S ribosomal RNA". It matches the Rfam family "Bacterial small subunit ribosomal RNA", at positions 524 to 776 of the family's 1533-position model. The record is from RNAcentral.